CAGAGCAGAAGGGAGCCGUGGUAAUAUUGUAGUUCCAAGAGGUGGAGGAAGAGGAGGUGGUGGAGGAGGUGGUAGUGGAGGAGGAGGAGGAGGAGGUCCAAGAGUGAUCAUAAGAACAACUGAAAUAGUAAUAUCGAGAAACAAAUCAAAAUAACAUUCAACCUAUAAAGCACCAGACCUUUUAUUUUCUAAUAUGCUGUAUUUAACAAAGAACUGUAGUAUAGCUAAAUAGUGUUAUUAAAGAACAAUGAACUCUUUUGAGAA
This is a long non-coding RNA of Macrosteles quadrilineatus (aster leafhopper), 264 nucleotides long. RefSeq lists it as uncharacterized. The record is from RefSeq and is a predicted model, not a curated record. The transcript has 2 exons. Lineage: Eukaryota; Metazoa; Arthropoda; Insecta; Hemiptera; Cicadellidae.